Molecule: ribosomal RNA, 253 nt
Filed under: uncultured bacterium
Lineage: Bacteria
Description: partial 16S ribosomal RNA
Rfam family: Bacterial small subunit ribosomal RNA
Source: RNAcentral
UACGAAGGUCCCAAGCGUUGUUCGGAAUCACUGGGCGUAAAGGGCGCGUAGGCGGCGUGGUAAGUCAGAUGUGAAAUCCCGGGGCUCAACCCCGGAACUGCAUCCGAUACUGCCAUGCUUGAGGGUUGGAGAGGUAGCUGGAAUUCUCGGUGUAGCAGUGAAAUGCGUGGAUAUCGAGAGGAACACUCGUGGCGAAGGCGAGCUACUGGACAACAUCUGACGCUGAGGCUCGAAGGCUAGGGUAGCGAAAGGG